GACGAACGCUGGCGGCGUGCUUAACACAUGCAAGUCGAACGAAGAGCGAUGGAAGCUUGCUUCUAUCACUCUUAGUGGCGAACGGGUGAGUAACGCGUAAUCAACCUGCCCUUCAGAGGGGGACAACAGUUGGAAACGACUGCUAAUACCGCAUACGAUCUAAUCUCGGCAUCGAGGAUAGAUGAAAGGUGGCCUCUACAUGUAAGCUAUCACUGAAGGAGGGGAUUGCGUCUGAUUAGCUAGUUGGAGGGGUAACGGCCCACCAAGGCGAUGAUCAGUAGCCGGUCGGAGAGGAUGAACGGCCACAUUGGGACUGAGACACGGCCCAGACUCCUACGGGAGGCAGCAGUGGGGAAUCUUCCGCAAUGGACGAAAGUCUGACGGAGCAACGCCGCGUGAGUGAUGACGGCCUUCGGGUUGUAAAGCUCUGUUAAUCGGGACGAAAGGCCUUCUUGCGAAUAGUGAGAAGGAUUGACGGUACCGGAAGAGAAAGCCACGGCUAACUACGUG
This 510-nucleotide ribosomal RNA is filed under the name uncultured bacterium. RNAcentral's name for it is "partial 16S ribosomal RNA". It matches the Rfam family "Bacterial small subunit ribosomal RNA", at positions 28 to 507 of the family's 1533-position model. The record is from RNAcentral.